UGGGAUUUCAGCAUUAGCUGCCCUCUCUCCUUGCUCAGCGCUGUGCAAAAAUAAAAUUCCUACUUCUUUCCACCACCCCGGGUGUCAGAAAUUGGCUUGCUGUGCAACGGGUGACCGAACUCACUUCAGGUUGGGUAACAGGCAACAUGGGACUGCGCAGCCAGUACUUUCUCCGGAUCAGCCUCCUGCUUCCGCUAUCGCACAUAUCCAAGAUUGGAGCCAGCAGCAACAAGGGACAUUAUUUUAAAAAACUAGAAUGUGAGAAGACAAAGCAUUGCUGACAGUCUGCUUUUGUUGCUGGCUGAGUUGUCUGGGGAGCUCUGUCUCAGUGUUGCAAGGACAGAAUUAUUACUGAACAGACAGGGCAAUGACUUGGGCCGCCUCACAUGCCCAGUGAAGAAAAUGCUGCAUACCCUUCUGAUAUUUGCAACUCCACACCCAGAGGUGGAAGCAGUCAAUAGGGGAUCUGAGAAAGUCUUUAUUUCUCCUUUACUGCUGAAGUCUAAUUUCUCAGUUUAUGGCCCCAGCAUCUUCUGCUCCAGUCAUGUGCUGCAUAACGAUGAUUUGGUCAACGACUGACGGCGUAUAUGAUGGUGCCCCCACUCACUGACUCACCCAGAGCAACUGCCAGUCCCGCAACUUCCAUUCAUGAUUCUACUACAAGUUUCAGUCAUUGAAAUAUCAUCAUCCUGUUGGCAGCGGCUAAAGAUUAAUUUGGAGGCUGUGUGGAGAGUGUAGUAGAAGGAUGGGAUUCUCGGUCAGGGUCAUGUUUCCACAAUCCAGGGAAAAGUUAAGGCUGGACCUAAAGCAGGACUGGUGAUUGUUUGAGGUCCUCUCUUGCUUGAGAAAAGCUCAGUGUGGAAAUGCUAUCAGAAGUGACUGCACUGGCACAUGGCUUCCUUUACCAUUGUGAGCAGAUACAGAUGGAGGAAAUGGCUACAUGGUUUGUUCUGUAGAUGGAACGUUAAGUGCAGGAGUUGGCCCCGAAGUACUAUUUCCUUUUGUGGAUGAUGGGACAAAGGAAAGCGUAAUUCGCAGACCAAAGGAAGACAACUUCAUUUACAACUUCAUCUGGAUGUUUCUGACACCUGAAACUACUCAACAAAAAUGGUGCCUCCAAUGUCAAUGGAAGAGGAGACCUAUAGAAAACGCGGCUGACCCUGAUCAUAUGGCUGAAUAUGCACGUCAUUCAGGAUUCAGAGAAAAUGAAGGAGGCGAGCUGGUGCAACCUGGCGUGGCGGCACAUCCUGCAACUGCCCAACUGCGCCAACCGGGCAGCUGGCACGUUGGAGACAGCAUCUGUGAACUUCGGUGGCACCCUGUGCCCACCCACCUUCACAGCAUCAUGACUGCUAAUUCCUCCUUCCAAACCUCACACACAUUUCUCUUGUGGUCCACUCUCAACCAGAAUCACUCAGUCAACAGAAUUUGGGGGAAUGUAGUCCCAUUAAGCUAACAGAGUUUAAUACACCAAAGGGCCCUAAGAUCUUAGGCUGGUGUAUUUCCAUAGUUCUUAUUAAGUGCUCAGAUGUGAGGGUGAGCUCCCUGCCUCUGGUAAGAAGUCUCCAGGGCCCUUUACCAUUUAUGUAGCAUCCUCCUUGCAGAAGUCAGUGGGUCCUUUUGUGCUCUAAUCUGAGAUCUUGUGGAAGGAAGAGCAGAGAAAGGCAGUGCUGACAGCCAGGAGGCAAGGAGAACCAGAUGCCCAAUACACAGUGAAAACGCCUAAUCUGAUCACACGUUGUGAUCUAACUCCAGGCCCCAAAUAAAGUAACCAUGAACUUGAGAGGGAAGGCUAGAUGUUUGAAUUUGCCACAAUUAACUGAAAUUUAUGUUGGGGAAACCAGCAGUCUAAUCCAAAUCCACUGUAGGGAGAAACAUGUCUCCAGGGUUUUAAUAUCAGAAAUUGUAUGUAAAUCUGGUUUCCUGUAUUAAAAAUAGUACAGCUCUUCAAGGAACAGACUGCCUUGUUUUUGUGUCUCUAAAACAUAAUUUUACGGAAACCAAGUCAGUUCUAAAACUAGUCAAGUUCCCACCUUCAUAAAGAACCCUAUAGACAAAUAGAAUCAACAAACUAUUCCUCCUCACUGGGCGCCCUGCUGGAGAAAAGGAAGAUACUCCAGGGUUUUCCAUGAGCUCAUAAGAUAUCCUAAAA
Equus caballus (horse) is the source of this 2152-nucleotide long non-coding RNA. Lineage: Eukaryota; Metazoa; Chordata; Mammalia; Perissodactyla; Equidae. The record is from Ensembl.